GAUGAACGCUGGCGGCGUGCCUAAUACAUGCAAGUCGAGCGAACAGACGAGGAGCUUGCUCCUCUGACGUUAGCGGCGGACGGGUGAGUAACACGUGGAUAACCUACCUAUAAGACUGGGAUAACUUCGGGAAACCGGAGCUAAUACCGGAUAAUAUAUUGAACCGCAUGGUUCAAUAGUGAAAGACGGUUUUGCUGUCACUUAUAGAUGGAUCCGCGCCGCAUUAGCUAGUUGGUAAGGUAACGGCUUACCAAGGCAACGAUGCGUAGCCGACCUGAGAGGGUGAUCGGCCACACUGGAAAUGAGACACGGUCAAGACUCCUACGGGAGGCAGCAGUAGGGAAUCUUCCGCAAUGGGCGAAAGCCUGACGGAGCAACGCCGCGUGAGUGAUGAAGGUCUUCGGAUCGUAAAACUCUGUUAUUAGGGAAGAACAAAUGUGUAAGUAACUAUGCACGUCUUGACGGUACCUAAUCAGAAAGCCACGGCUAACUACGUG
Molecule: ribosomal RNA, 497 nt
Filed under: uncultured bacterium
Lineage: Bacteria
Description: partial 16S ribosomal RNA
Rfam family: Bacterial small subunit ribosomal RNA
Source: RNAcentral